This 370-nucleotide long non-coding RNA is filed under the name Mytilus galloprovincialis (Mediterranean mussel). Lineage: Eukaryota; Metazoa; Mollusca; Bivalvia; Mytilida; Mytilidae. The record is from RNAcentral.
CUCCUCCUGUUACUUUUCAUGAUAAACUCAUAAAAAUGACAGCUCGAUGGAUUUGAAAUGUAGGAAAAUUUAACCUCUGUAUUUGUCACAUUCUUAAUUGCUUUGAAAUUUUUUCAUGUUGGCAUAAGGUUCUAAAAUGAAAUAUGCAACCUGCAGUUAUGAUGUUUCUACAAAUAUCAACAGGUGCCUUUGUUAUGGUGUAGAAUGGAGAUAUGGUAAAGCUCCUAAAAAGUCAGAGGAAUCUCAAUCUAAUCUACACUUUCAAUGUUUGAAAUAUUGACACCUAUAUAUAAGACAUUUUAGUCUGAUUUAUAUCCAUACUUUGAUGUUCUAGUAAUUUCUAUGUCAAUAAAACAUCCACAUUGUGCAA